This 1353-nucleotide ribosomal RNA is filed under the name Campylobacter jejuni. RNAcentral describes it as "bacterial SSU rRNA". It matches the Rfam family "Bacterial small subunit ribosomal RNA", at positions 156 to 1533 of the family's 1533-position model. Lineage: Bacteria; Pseudomonadati; Campylobacterota; Epsilonproteobacteria; Campylobacterales; Campylobacteraceae. The record is from RNAcentral.
ACGACUGCUAAUACUCUAUACUCCUGCUUAACACAAGUUGAGUAGGGAAAGUUUUUCGGUGUAGGAUGAGACUAUAUAGUAUCAGCUAGUUGGUAAGGUAAUGGCUUACCAAGGCUAUGACGCUUAACUGGUCUGAGAGGAUGAUCAGUCACACUGGAACUGAGACACGGUCCAGACUCCUACGGGAGGCAGCAGUAGGGAAUAUUGCGCAAUGGGGGAAACCCUGACGCAGCAACGCCGCGUGGAGGAUGACACUUUUCGGAGCGUAAACUCCUUUUCUUAGGGAAGAAUUCUGACGGUACCUAAGGAAUAAGCACCGGCUAACUCCGUGCCAGCAGCCGCGGUAAUACGGAGGGUGCAAGCGUUACUCGGAAUCACUGGGCGUAAAGGGCGCGUAGGCGGAUUAUCAAGUCUCUUGUGAAAUCUAAUGGCUUAACCAUUAAACUGCUUGGGAAACUGAUAGUCUAGAGUGAGGGAGAGGCAGAUGGAAUUGGUGGUGUAGGGGUAAAAUCCGUAGAUAUCACCAAGAAUACCCAUUGCGAAGGCGAUCUGCUGGAACUCAACUGACGCUAAGGCGCGAAAGCGUGGGGAGCAAACAGGAUUAGAUACCCUGGUAGUCCACGCCCUAAACGAUGUACACUAGUUGUUGGGGUGCUAGUCAUCUCAGUAAUGCAGCUAACGCAUUAAGUGUACCGCCUGGGGAGUACGGUCGCAAGAUUAAAACUCAAAGGAAUAGACGGGGACCCGCACAAGCGGUGGAGCAUGUGGUUUAAUUCGAAGAUACGCGAAGAACCUUACCUGGGCUUGAUAUCCUAAGAACCUUAUAGAGAUAUGAGGGUGCUAGCUUGCUAGAACUUAGAGACAGGUGCUGCACGGCUGUCGUCAGCUCGUGUCGUGAGAUGUUGGGUUAAGUCCCGCAACGAGCGCAACCCACGUAUUUAGUUGCUAACGGUUCGGCCGAGCACUCUAAAUAGACUGCCUUCGUAAGGAGGAGGAAGGUGUGGACGACGUCAAGUCAUCAUGGCCCUUAUGCCCAGGGCGACACACGUGCUACAAUGGCAUAUACAAUGAGACGCAAUACCGCGAGGUGGAGCAAAUCUAUAAAAUAUGUCCCAGUUCGGAUUGUUCUCUGCAACUCGAGAGCAUGAAGCCGGAAUCGCUAGUAAUCGUAGAUCAGCCAUGCUACGGUGAAUACGUUCCCGGGUCUUGUACUCACCGCCCGUCACACCAUGGGAGUUGAUUUCACUCGAAGCCGGAAUACUAAACUAGUUACCGUCCACAGUGGAAUCAGCGACUGGGGUGAAGUCGUAACAAGGUAACCGUAGGAGAACCUGCGGUUGGAUCACCUCCUUU